Non-coding RNA from Cyanistes caeruleus (blue tit), 638 nucleotides. NCBI's taxonomy places the organism in Eukaryota, Metazoa, Chordata, Aves, Passeriformes, Paridae. The record is from RefSeq and is a predicted model, not a curated record.
CCGCCCGNCGCCACCUGCCCGCCGCAGGCCCGCCUCCUCCGCCAGCUUAAACCCGGCCCCCCCGUGCCAUCGCGCCCUGCCUGCGAUGAGCUCAGCAAAACUUUAUGAAACAAUUGUGUAUGUGAUUCUCUAUCACUCUUCAGUCUGUUCUUGAUCUGAAGCCUGCACAAAGAAAAUUCUCAUCCACCAGCAUACACAGUCUAAACACGAUAAAUACAGCUGGCACAAUAACUCUGUCCAGAACUGGAAAGACAAUGAUGAGUAACUUGUUCUUACCAGGCUCUAAGGAUUUGCUACUGGCAGUCAUGAACCUCUGCUGAUCUCCCAUCUCAGCCUUCCACCAGCAGCAUGUUCAGCCCCAAAGAGGAGAGGCUCAUGAACGAUGUUAUUUCUUUAUGCCAAAAAAAUUGCAAAUAAACAGGCAAACUUCUGAUUUCCUAAUGUACCCUAUGGUUACUAACCGGAUGUCUGCUGGUUUUAGUGGCUGUUUUAAGCUGUUUUCUGCAAUUGUUUUGUCUGAAAGGGGAGUGUGUAGGGAACAGCUUGCUUCAUGUUUUUAAGAUGACUUUUAUUACUGAGUGGCCUAGCACUCAGAUGCUCAGAGUUAUCUUUUGGGAAUAAAACAGGUUAUUUCUGUA